CCUCCAGACUCCUACGGGAGGCAGCAGUGGGGGAUAUUGCACAAUGGGGGGAACCCUGAUGCAGCGACGCCGCGUGGGUGAAGGAGUGCUUCGGCAUGUAAAGCCCUAUCGGCAGGGAAGAAAAGCGAACAGGUUCGCCUGGACGGUACCUGACUAAGAAGCCCCGGCUAACUACGUGCCAGCAGCCGCGGUAAUAAGUAGGGGGCAAGCGUUAUCCGGAUUCACUGGGUGUAAAGGGAGCGUAGACGGCGACGCAAGUCUGGAGUGAAAGCCCGGGGCCCAACCCCGGGACUGCUCUGGGAACUGUGCGGCUGGAGUGCGGGAGGGGCAGGCGGAAUUCCUGGUGUAGCGGUGAAAUGCGUAGAUAUCAGGAGGAACACCGGCGGCGAAGGCGGCCUGCUGGACCGCGACUGACGUUGAGGCUCGAAAGCGUGGGGAGCAAACAGGAUUAGAUACCCGAGUA
This 463-nucleotide ribosomal RNA is filed under the name uncultured bacterium. RNAcentral describes it as "bacterial SSU rRNA". It matches the Rfam family "Bacterial small subunit ribosomal RNA", at positions 328 to 792 of the family's 1533-position model. The record is from RNAcentral.